This 200-nucleotide ribosomal RNA is filed under the name uncultured bacterium. Its description in RNAcentral is "partial 16S ribosomal RNA". It matches the Rfam family "Bacterial small subunit ribosomal RNA", at positions 8 to 204 of the family's 1533-position model. The record is from RNAcentral.
AGAGUUUGAUCCUGGCUCAGGACGAACGCUGGCGGCGUGCCUAAUACAUGCAAGUCGAGCGAAUCUUUAGGAGCUUGCUCCUGAAGAUUAGCGGCGGACGGGUGAGUAACACGUGGGCAACCUGCCUGUAAGACUGGGAUAACACCGGGAAACCGGUGCUAAUACCGGAUAAUUCUUUUUCUCUCAUGAGAGGAAGCUGA